RNAcentral lists this ribosomal RNA (311 nucleotides) under uncultured bacterium. RNAcentral describes it as "bacterial SSU rRNA". It matches the Rfam family "Bacterial small subunit ribosomal RNA", at positions 505 to 796 of the family's 1533-position model. The record is from RNAcentral.
GUGCCAGCCGCCGCGGUAAUACAGAGGGCGCGAGCGUUGUCCGGAAUCACUGGGCGUAAAGGGCGCGUAGGUGGCGGCAUAAGGCUGUGGUGAAAGUCUGGGGCUCAACUCCAGAUCGGCCGCGGCGACUGUGUCGCUUGGGCACCGUAGAGGCAGAUGGAAUUCCGGGUGUAGCGGUGGAAUGCGUAGAGAUCCGGAAGAACACCAGUGGCGAAGGCGGUCUGCUGGGCGGUGAGCUCGCGAGAGCUCAAUAGCCGACACUGAGGCGCGACAGCGUGGGGAGCAAACAGGAUUAGAAACCCGCGUAGUCC